GACGAACGCUGGCGGCGUGCUUAACACAUGCAAGUCGAACGGAAAGGCCCUGCUUUUGUGGGGUGCUCGAGCGGCGAACGGGUGAGUAACACGUGAGUAUCCUGCCCUUGACUUUGGGAUAACUUCAGGAAACUGCGGCUAAUACCGGAUAGGAGCUCCUGCUGCAUGGUGGGGGUUGGAAAGUUUCGGCGGUUGGGGAUGGACUCGCGGCUUAUCAGCUUGUUGGGGGGGUAGUGGCUUACCAAGGCUUUGACGGGUAGCCGGCCUGAGAGGGUGACCGGCCACAUUGGGACUGAGAUACGGCCCAGACUCCUACGGGAGGCAGCAGUGGGGAAUAUUGCACAAUGGGCGGAAGCCUGAUGCAGCAACGCCGCGUGCGGGAUGACGGCCUUCGGGUUGUAAACCGCUUUCGCCUGUGACGAAGCGUGAGUGACGGUAAUGGGUAAAGAAGCACCGGCUAACUACGUG
This 468-nucleotide ribosomal RNA is filed under the name uncultured bacterium. Its description in RNAcentral is "partial 16S ribosomal RNA". It matches the Rfam family "Bacterial small subunit ribosomal RNA", at positions 28 to 507 of the family's 1533-position model. The record is from RNAcentral.